RNAcentral lists this long non-coding RNA (203 nucleotides) under Lathyrus oleraceus (garden pea). Its description in RNAcentral is "Pisum sativum (pea) long non-coding RNA (PSAT_LNC021074)". The record is from RNAcentral. Lineage: Eukaryota; Viridiplantae; Streptophyta; Magnoliopsida; Fabales; Fabaceae.
GCACUAGAAACUUAUUUUUGAAAAAACUUUGCGCCUUGAGCAUAAGAUAAGAGAUUGGACGAAGGACCCACACCAUUCUUGAUUGCUUUGAAAAACAUGAUGUGGGUUUGGUGAGUCCUGGAGUGAUAGCCAUAUUUUGUAAGUUCCCCCUCCCUUUUGCAUGGGAAAUCUCUCUUUCAGCUUAUCUUUCGUAAGUAUCCCUA